Molecule: ribosomal RNA, 253 nt
Filed under: uncultured bacterium
Lineage: Bacteria
Description: partial 16S ribosomal RNA
Rfam family: Bacterial small subunit ribosomal RNA
Source: RNAcentral
UACGUAGGUGGCAAGCGUUGUCCGGAAUUAUUGGGCGUAAAGCGCGCGCAGGCGGUCCUUUAAGUCUGAUGUGAAAGCCCACGGCUCAACCGUGGAGGGUCAUUGGAAACUGGGGGACUUGAGUACAGAAGAGAAGAGUGGAAUUCCACGUGUAGCGGUGAAAUGCGUAGAUAUCGGGAGGAACACCAGUGGCGAAGGCGAGUCUCUGGGAUGAUGCUGACGCUGAGGCGCGAAAGCCAGGGGAGCAAACGGG